This 252-nucleotide ribosomal RNA is filed under the name uncultured bacterium. RNAcentral describes it as "partial 16S ribosomal RNA". It matches the Rfam family "Bacterial small subunit ribosomal RNA", at positions 525 to 776 of the family's 1533-position model. The record is from RNAcentral.
ACGGAGGGUGCAAGCGUUGUUCGGGAUUACUGGGCGUAAAGAGCGUGUAGGCGGCUUGGUCAGUCGGAUGUGAAAUCCCGGGGCCCAACCCCGGAACUGCAUCCGAUACUGCCUGGCUUGAGUCUCGGAGAGGAAGGCGGAAUUCCGGGUGUAGAGGUGAAAUUCGUAGAUAUCCGGAGGAACACCAGCGGCGAAGGCGGCCUUCUGGACGAUGACUGACGCUGAGACGCGAAAGCGUGGGUAGCAAACAGG